GUUGCUUCAGAAAUAGGAACAAUCCACAAGUUCAAGGCUUCCUCCUGGCUCUCGGGGGCCCCACUGACUUGGGGAGCAGAGACGUUCUCCCGAAGACCAGGGGGUCCCACGAGCCCCAUCCUGCUGCAUCUGUGGGCACGAACUUCGUGGAAGUUCAGACACUGCUGGAAGUCCUUUCUUUCAUUUUAAGAAUAAUGUAUUGAGGUGAGAUUCACAGAACAUAAACUUAACCACUUCAGAGUGUCCAAUUAAGUGGCAUUUAGUACAU
This is a long non-coding RNA of Lemur catta (Ring-tailed lemur), 268 nucleotides long. RefSeq lists it as uncharacterized. Lineage: Eukaryota; Metazoa; Chordata; Mammalia; Primates; Lemuridae. The record is from RefSeq and is a predicted model, not a curated record. The transcript has 3 exons.